RNAcentral lists this ribosomal RNA (729 nucleotides) under uncultured Pseudomonadota bacterium. Its description in RNAcentral is "bacterial SSU rRNA". It matches the Rfam family "Bacterial small subunit ribosomal RNA", at positions 48 to 766 of the family's 1533-position model. The record is from RNAcentral. Lineage: Bacteria; Pseudomonadati; Pseudomonadota.
CUAACACAUGCAAGUCGAACGGUAACAGGAAGAAGCUUGCUUCUUUGCUGACGAGUGGCGGACGGGUGAGUAAUGUCUGGGAAACUGCCUGAUGGAGGGGGAUAACUACUGGAAACGGUAGCUAAUACCGCAUAACGUCGCAAGACCAAAGAGGGGGACCUUCGGGCCUCUUGCCAUCGGAUGUGCCCAGAUGGGAUUAGCUAGUAGGUGGGGUAACGGCUCACCUAGGCGACGAUCCCUAGCUGGUCUGAGAGGAUGACCAGCCACACUGGAACUGAGACACGGUCCAGACUCCUACGGGAGGCAGCAGUGGGGAAUAUUGCACAAUGGGCGCAAGCCUGAUGCAGCCAUGCCGCGUGUAUGAAGAGGGCCUUCGGGUUGUAAAGUACUUUCAGCGGGGAGGAAGGGAGUAAAGUUAAUACCUUUGCUCAUUGACGUUACCCGCAGAAGAAGCACCGGCUAACUCCGUGCCAGCAGCCGCGGUAAUACGGAGGGUGCAAGCGUUAAUCGGAAUUACUGGGCGUAAAGCGCACGCAGGCGGUUUGUUAAGUCAGAUGUGAAAUCCCCGGGCUCAACCUGGGAACUGCAUCUGAUACUGGCAAGCUUGAGUCUCGUAGAGGGGGGUAGAAUUCCAGGUGUAGCGGUGAAAUGCGUAGAGAUCUGGAGGAAUACCGGUGGCGAAGGCGGCCCCCUGGACGAAGACUGACGCUCAGGUGCGAAAGCGUGGGG